CCCUUAGAUGUUCUGGGCCGCACGCGCGCUACACUGAUGCAUGCAACAAGUCUUUUCCUUGGCCGAGAGGCCUGGGCAAUCUUUGAAUAUGCGUCGUGAUGGGGAUAGACGAUUGCAAUUAUUCGUCUUCAACGAGGAAUUCCUAGUAAACGCAAGUCAUCAGCUUGCAUUGAUUACGUCCCUGCCCUUUGUACACACCGCCCGUCGCACCUACCGAUUGAAUGGUCCGGUGAAGGCUUCGGAGGCGGCUUUCUCAAUGUUUAUUCGGCGAGACUGCUGCCAAAGUUGAAUGAACCUUACCAUUUAGAGGAAGGUGAAGUCGUAACA
RNAcentral lists this ribosomal RNA (327 nucleotides) under uncultured eukaryote. RNAcentral's name for it is "partial 18S ribosomal RNA". It matches the Rfam family "Eukaryotic small subunit ribosomal RNA", at positions 1470 to 1796 of the family's 1831-position model. The record is from RNAcentral.